Molecule: small RNA, 18 nt
Filed under: Arabidopsis thaliana (thale cress)
Lineage: Eukaryota; Viridiplantae; Streptophyta; Magnoliopsida; Brassicales; Brassicaceae
Description: ATSL124330
Source: RNAcentral
AAAAAAAAAGUAAAAAAA